RNAcentral lists this ribosomal RNA (497 nucleotides) under uncultured bacterium. RNAcentral describes it as "partial 16S ribosomal RNA". It matches the Rfam family "Bacterial small subunit ribosomal RNA", at positions 28 to 507 of the family's 1533-position model. The record is from RNAcentral.
GAUGAACGCUGGCGGCGUGCCUAAUACAUGCAAGUCGAGCGAACGGACGAGAAGCUUGCUUUUCUGAUGUUAGCGGCGGACGGGUGAGUAACACGUGUAUAACCUACCUAUAAGACUGGGAUAACUUCGGGAAACCGGAGCUAAUACCGGAUAAUAUUUUGAACCGCAUGGUUCAAAAGUGAAAGACGGUCUUGCUGUCACUUAUAGAUGGAUCCGCGCUGCAUUAGAUAGUUGGUAAGGUAACGGCUUACCAAGGCAACGAUGCAUAGCCGACCUGAGAGGGUGAUCGGCCACACUGGAACUGAGACACGGUCCAGACUCCUACGGGAGGCAGCAGUAGGGAAUCGUACGCAAUGGGCGAAAGCCUGACGGAGCAACGCCGCGUGAGUGAUGAAGGUCUUCGGAUCGUAAAACUCUGUUAUGAGGGAAGAACAUAUGUGUAAGUAACUGUGCACAUCUUGACGGUACCUAAUCAGAAAGCCACGGCUAACUACGUG